Molecule: long non-coding RNA, 719 nt
Filed under: Struthio camelus australis
Lineage: Eukaryota; Metazoa; Chordata; Aves; Struthioniformes; Struthionidae
Description: lncRNA (ENSSCUG00000015577.1)
Source: RNAcentral
UCUCCAAACUGGUGCUGGUGUCCCAAAGAAUAUGCCACUGGAAUAGGCGAGGCAGAAAAGAGGUGUGACAACCGAGAGUGGACUCCAUUUUAUAGAAGCAGCAGGGGCAGAGGGGAUACGGGAUGGCCCAAGUUGCAGUGGAAGCCUGAAACAGUUGGCAUUUGAUCCGGGUUUCUAGAGUGCUAAUCUCUGACUGAAUCACAAGUCUGGCUUCUGUCAUGGGCAUUUAUCAGGAGCUCAUACAAGAACUAUCACUGGAUUAAAAAGAGGAGAGUUUACACAGUGAAGUAUUAGAGGUUUUAAACAUAUACACACAUACACAUAUAUAUGCGCGUGUGUGGUGUUCUUCCUUAUCUGUUUACUCCCACCACCUCCUAGACUCUAUCUCAAAAAUGAUCCAUUUUGCUUUGUUACAGAGCUUGUGGUUGAGGUUCCCUGAAAACAUCUGAGGAGUAAUUUGGAUAUAAAUACCUCCUUGUCUGUAUUUGCAAACAAGUUCCUUCGGAUUGGAUAUUACCAUGAUACAAGUAGUUCUGAAAGGGUGACCCUGUGUUGGUUUUUUUUCCCCCUAUUUUCUUUAAUGGUCACUUUACAGAUGCUCACCUUCGAAAUUUGCAUUGCCAAGGGUUACUACAUCAAAAUAUUGCCAUUUGACAAUGCAACGAUAUACUUGUGACCCCUGGAAAAAGUUUAAUAAAACAGAAACAAUUGCGUGCUAC